AAUCAACGCUGGCGGCGUGCCUCAGACAUGCAAGUCGAACGAUUAAAGCUCUCUUCGGAGAGUGCAUAGAGUGGCGCACGGGUGAGUAACACGUAAGUAAUCUACCUUCGAGUGGGGAAUAACAGUCGGAAACGACUGCUAAUACCGCAUAAUGCAGCGGCAUCGCAAGAUGACAGUUGUUAAAGGAGCAAUUCGCUUGAAGAGGAGCUUGCGGCAGAUUAGCUUGUUGGUAAGGUAACGGCUUACCAAGGCUACGAUCUGUAACCGGUCUAAGAGGACGGUCGGUCACACUGACACUGAAUAACGGGUCAGACUCCUACGGGAGGCAGCAGUCGGGAAUUUUGGUCAAUGGGCGAAAGACCUGACCCAGCAACGCCGCGUGAAGGAUGAAGUAUUUCGGUAUGUAAACUUCGAAGAAUGGGAAGAAUCAAUGACGGUACCAUUUAUAAGGUCCGGCUAACUACGUGCCAGCAGCC
Molecule: ribosomal RNA, 476 nt
Filed under: uncultured bacterium
Lineage: Bacteria
Description: bacterial SSU rRNA
Rfam family: Bacterial small subunit ribosomal RNA
Source: RNAcentral